UGGGGAAUAUUGGACAAUGGGCGAAAGCCUGAUCCAGCCAUGCCGCGUGUGUGAAGAAGGUCUUCGGACUGUAAAGCACUUUAAGUUGGGAGGAAGGGCAGUAAGUUAAUACCUUGCUGUUUUGACGUUACCGACAGAAUAAGCACCGGCUAACUCUGUG
This 160-nucleotide ribosomal RNA is filed under the name uncultured bacterium. RNAcentral's name for it is "partial 16S ribosomal RNA". It matches the Rfam family "Bacterial small subunit ribosomal RNA", at positions 355 to 507 of the family's 1533-position model. The record is from RNAcentral.